This 489-nucleotide ribosomal RNA is filed under the name uncultured bacterium. Its description in RNAcentral is "bacterial SSU rRNA". It matches the Rfam family "Bacterial small subunit ribosomal RNA", at positions 28 to 507 of the family's 1533-position model. The record is from RNAcentral.
GAUGAACGCUAGCUACAGGCUUAACACAUGCAAGUCGAGGGGCAGCAUGAACUUAGCUUGCUAAGUUUGAUGGCGACCGGCGCACGGGUGAGUAACACGUAUCCAACCUGCCGAUGACUCGGGGAUAGCCUUUCGAAAGAAAGAUUAAUACCCGAUGGCAUAGUUCUUCCGCAUGGUAGAACUAUUAAAGGAUUUCGGUCAUCGAUGGGGAUGCGUUCCAUUAGGUUGUUGGCGGGGUAACGGCCCACCAAGCCUUCGAUGGAUAGGGGUUCUGAGAGGAAGGUCCCCCACAUUGGAACUGAGACACGGUCCAAACUCCUACGGGAGGCAGCAGUGAGGAAUAUUGGUCAAUGGACGAGAGUCUGAACCAGCCAAGUAGCGUGAAGGAUGACUGCCCUAUGGGUUGUAAACUUCUUUUAUACGGGAAUAAAGUGAGGCACGCGUGCCUUUUUGUAUGUACCGUAUGAAUAAGGAUCGGCUAACUCCGUG